UACAACAUGAUCCGCAUAUUGUCCUGUGAACAUACCCGGAUGAAUCAAGGUUGUCAAUACUUCCAACUUAACUGGAUUUUGUGACACUGAAAAUUGUGAUUUCUGUAUUUGUCAUCUAGGUUCUUAAUGUCUUAAUUCCUAGAAUCAAUGGAUUAUUUGAAAAUUUUAGCUUUUUCUUUUCUUGUUUUCCAUUUCCUUUGUGUUUGUUUAUUUAUUUAUUUCAAUUUCUUUUCUUUCUUUUUCCCUGAGAUAGCAGCAAGAUUUCCUCAUUUCCCAGCGACAGGACCCAAGUUGUAUCCCAGCACCGUAACGAAUCAUAUGAACCACCCUGUUUGGAUGAUGCCAACUGAGUCCUCGUGAGCUCAAGGGAGAAGCAGAGAAGGUAGUAUACAAAAGAGGACCACGUGAGGACAGACAAGAGGUCCUGGGUCUCUUGCUGCUGCUGCAGAAUUUUCUGCUACCUGAUCUCAACAGGUCUUCGCCCUCUGCAAACAAAAUGAGCACCGUGAACCAACGAUCCAGAGCACGCAGUUUACUAAGAUGUCUUAAACUCAGAUUCUUUCUUCCAGUCUAUUGAGAAUGAUUGUUUGAACUCAGAAGUCAAGACUAUGGUGCCAAAUUGAAUUCUGGCUAACUCUGAAAUCCAGCAUUUCAGGUAGGAAGACUUUUCUCAGUUUCUCAGCAAAAUCUUCAUGACUUCACUCUGAAAUGAUUAUUUCUCAUUCUGCUUGUGAAGGACGUGGAGAAAACAGAUCCCUCGCCUAACCACAGCAGCUUUCUGUCUCCAGCUGUUUCCCUAGCAGUGCUUCAGGUCCUCUUCUGUACUGAUGCUUUUCUUCAGACUCACAGCAUCACCUGCAGCCUGCUGAGAGCUCCUCUGAAAGAAGCAGCAGUGAGAACUCACUGGUAGUAGCAUGCUCUUUCAGUUACUACACUACUACUCAGGCUCUUGUCUGACUUUUUUUUCCCCCAUAAAGAAAUGGGGAGGAGGGGGAAAGAGAUCUGGUGCAUGUGUCUAUCAACUGAACUCAGAUACCACCUGGCUCAAACACAACACAUACAAUUUCUCUGUUGCACACCACACUGCAGCUUUUUGACAGAAGUGGCUGUUAAAGUGUUUGUCUCCAAACUGAGUAACCAUAUGACCUUCUCCUGCAAUAUCAUCUAUAAGAAUGUAAAUUGUAUUUUACCAGCACACCAAAAUUUUGAAGCUAACAAACCUUCUCUGAGCAGUGUACUGUAACUUCUGUUCCAUAAUUAAACCAGUAUCCCACUCCUGGACAGGUUCACUCCGUUUUCCCUUCCUUUGAGUAAUACACCUUCAGACCAGUGCCUUGUUUUGAUCUAUUACAAUGAUAGACUGAAGAGUUCAUGUAAUACAUCAUCACAGUCAGCUGUUGCUGGACGCCAAGGAUUGAGAGACUGAGCCAGCUGUUUUUUGAUGUAUUCUGGUAAUGCAUCACUGGACUAUGGAAACUGAUAAUGUAUUACUUCAAAAAUGACACUACCCAGAAAAGAGAGUCCAGAGGUGCAGAUUCUGUAUAAUGAGCCAUUCAAAGUACUACGUAGGGCUGCAAACUCCUGGAACAAGAUGUUGGUAAUAAAUCAGCUUUCUGCAGUAUUACAUUAACAGCGCGCCUAGAUGGGUACCCACAGAUACUGUUGUGUGUAACCUGAUUUCCAGUACUUCUUUGUGAUUCUGCUUUUGUUCAGAUCAAAGAUAACCCUAGCAGCAGCAGUUCUACCUUCUCUUACAACAAAACGGUUCACAAUACAAGCAAUCCAGAACAAGGGAUAGGGCAGAUGUAUUGUCUCAAGAGAUUCAAAGAGUUGGGAUUCCUCCUCAGUUUGGAGCACUGUUAGAGCCACUCAGAUGCUGCUGUUUCAGUGGACUGAGCCCAUCUCUGUAAAUGCUCUUUCCCUUUGCCCUUGAUGGUACUAUUGUGUCCCAUAGGUGUAAAAUGGGCUGGCUGAGAGCACUGCAGUUGCGUUGACUUUUCUUGUGAAUUGACUAAAGGGGAGGAAGUCUCCUUUGGCCAUCUCUUCAUCCUCUCUCUGUUCCUCCUUCCUCUGCCAUGCAUAGAAUCAAGGCUAACAAUAACUUGUCCCCAGUUCUGAAUGUAAAUUAGAAAGAAAAUUAUUGCAACAGGUAACAUUUUAAUCAUUUGCCUGCCAAACUAUCUCCUUGAUAAAGCAGGCUUGUGUAUGAGUAAAAGUAACAUUUCCUGUGAAUUUGCUUUUAGCCUCAGGACCAUCAACCACUUCACUGCCUUGGCAUGUAUGACUGUUAAUGAAGUAAGCAUCACAUACGAGCAGAAUGAAGUCAUUAUAGUCGCACGACACCCAAGAGCUAUCUGGAACAAAUCAAAAUCUGUCAAACUCUGCUUGGGAUGAAGAUAAGAGAUUCUAAAGAGGAAAGCUGAAAAAUGAUGUUUUUUAAAGCUG
Molecule: long non-coding RNA, 2445 nt
Organism: Gallus gallus (chicken)
Lineage: Eukaryota; Metazoa; Chordata; Aves; Galliformes; Phasianidae
Exons: 3
Source: RefSeq, a predicted model, not a curated record